This is a long non-coding RNA of Drosophila santomea, 1055 nucleotides long. RefSeq lists it as uncharacterized. NCBI's taxonomy places the organism in Eukaryota, Metazoa, Arthropoda, Insecta, Diptera, Drosophilidae. The transcript has 3 exons. The record is from RefSeq and is a predicted model, not a curated record.
UAAGUAUACCAAUUACAAUUAAACUUUGAUAUUUUUUUUGAAAACAACUAAAAGCUUUAUCAACUUUGAGACACUUUUGCAGUUCUUUUCGCAGAUUUAGCUGGGUAAUAGCUCAUUUUCCUUAAUAAUCCUGGCCCUUUCAACUUAGAUUAUUAAUCGUUUUGGAGCAGCAGGUAAGUCGCUUCCGAGGGGAGCAGCUAAACUGGCGCCGUGGGACAUGGGAUGCCGAAUCCAGGAUGCAGGCAGUGGCUCCACAUCGAUGGCAGAUACUCCCCCAGCUUAGCAAAACUCUCCCCGGGGCACAUUUAACUAAAGCACAGCCAAGGACAGCAUUGAUGAAGAAGUGAGGGGAUGGGCGGGCCCUGCCGAAGGAUGUGGAUGAGGUGGCGAGUAUCCCGGCCGAACUGACUGCUCGUGGCAAUUAUAAAUUGUUGAAAAUAAUUUCAUUAAAUAUGUAAAAAGGCGACGCCGAAUACAGGUGCGUAUUAAACGAGGGCAGUGGGAUCCUUUGGCUGCAGGACUGUGUGUGUAUGUGUGUGUGUGUGUGUGUGUGCUUCGAACUACGUGCCAGCUAUUAACUUUGACCCCCCAUCUCCAGCACUCCAGGACACCAGGAGACGAGGACUCCACGAUACAGGAACCCUCCAGCUUCGUUCCCACAUCCGAUGGCCUCGGAAAAACUUCUCCACUUUGAGGGCACAUUGUGACGAAGAUGUGAUGCCAGUGCCGAAAGCACUAAGUAACUUAUUAGCUCCGGGAAAAGUCGGCUUUUGGGCACAUUCCAUUUGCUUGCAAAUGUAAUGAUUCCGCCAAAUGAAAUUUCAUUCUCGCCGUGCAAUUGUUCAUUUCAUUUCACCUGCCAUGGAGAGUGCUAUUGCAGUCCGGUGCAGGAAACUAAGUUGGCAGCCGAAAUAACCCUUACUGGGCACAAAACGCAAUUGAAAGGUACAGUCUGCACUCCAAAUAAAAGACAGCAAAUAGCCAUAGCAAUGCAGAGAAUCAAUGCGUUUAAAUUAAAAUGAAUUUCAACAAUUGAAAAGCAAUAAUUUAGCCGU